UCCCAUCACAGCUUUAAACCACUGGCCACGAGGGAGAGAAUCCACUUCAGGCCUCCCAGAGCAAGAUCCAGUUGUUCCAGCAACUAAAGAAGGGUUUGUGUCCCCUAUUUGACACUCAAGCUGUCACACUUAGAGCCAAGUUCAUAUGCUCUAAAUCAGGUGAGCGAAGGAGAUAACCAAAUAUUCAAUGCUUCCAUGGUGAUUGAUCAGGAAAAGUAAAUUACA
Pelobates fuscus (common spadefoot toad) is the source of this 225-nucleotide long non-coding RNA. RefSeq lists it as uncharacterized. NCBI's taxonomy places the organism in Eukaryota, Metazoa, Chordata, Amphibia, Anura, Pelobatidae. The transcript is spliced from 3 exons. The record is from RefSeq and is a predicted model, not a curated record.